CCUACGGGGGGCAGCAAUUAGGAAUCUUGCGCAAUGGGCGAAAGCCUGACGCAGCGACGUCGCGUGAAGGAUGAAAUCUUUCGGGAUGUAAACUUCUUUUACCAGGGAAGAAUAAUGACGGUACCUGGUGAAUAAGCCCCGGCUAACUACGUGCCAGCAGCCGCGGUAAUACGUAGGGGGCGAGCGUUGUCCGAAGUUACUGGGCGUAAAGAGCGCGUAGGCGGGUUCUUAAGUGAGGGGUGAAAGUCCGAGGCUCAACCUCGGAACUGCCUUUCAUACUGGGAACCUUGAGUGCGGGAGAGGCGAGUGGAAUGGUCGGUGUAGCGGUGAAAUGCGUAGAUAUCGAUCGGAACACCCAUGGCGAAGGCAGCUCGCUGGCCUGUAACUGACGCUGAGGCGCGAAAGCGUGGGGAGCAAACA
This 420-nucleotide ribosomal RNA is filed under the name uncultured bacterium. Its description in RNAcentral is "bacterial SSU rRNA". It matches the Rfam family "Bacterial small subunit ribosomal RNA", at positions 338 to 774 of the family's 1533-position model. The record is from RNAcentral.